RNAcentral lists this ribosomal RNA (702 nucleotides) under uncultured bacterium. RNAcentral's name for it is "bacterial SSU rRNA". It matches the Rfam family "Bacterial small subunit ribosomal RNA", at positions 67 to 762 of the family's 1533-position model. The record is from RNAcentral.
CGGCAGCACGGGAGCUUGCUCCUGGUGGCGAGUGGCGAACGGGUGAGUAAUGCGUCGGAACGUACCGAGUAAUGGGGGAUAACGCAGCGAAAGUUGUGCUAAUACCGCAUACGCCCUGAGGGGGAAAGCGGGGGAUCGUAAGACCUCGCGUUAUUCGAGCGGCCGACGUCUGAUUAGCUAGUUGGUGGGGUAAAGGCCUACCAAGGCGACGAUCAGUAGCGGGUCUGAGAGGAUGAUCCGCCACACUGGGACUGAGACACGGCCCAGACUCCUACGGGAGGCAGCAGUGGGGAAUUUUGGACAAUGGGGGCAACCCUGAUCCAGCCAUUCCGCGUGAGUGAAGAAGGCCUUCGGGUUGUAAAGCUCUUUCAGCUGGAGUGAAACGGUGAGCUCUAACAUAGCUUGCUAAUGACGGUACCAGCAGAAGAAGCACCGGCUAACUACGUGCCAGCAGCCGCGGUAAUACGUAGGGUGCGAGCGUUAAUCGGAAUUACUGGGCGUAAAGCGUGCGCAGGCGGAUUGUUAAGCAAGACGUGAAAUCCCCGGGCUUAACCUGGGAAUGGCGUUUUGAACUGGCAGUCUAGAGUGCGUCAGAGGGGGGUGGAAUUCCACGUGUAGCAGUGAAAUGCGUAGAGAUGUGGAGGAACACCGAUGGCGAAGGCAGCCCCCUGGGAUGACACUGACGCUCAUGUACGAAAGCGU